Molecule: transfer RNA, 69 nt
Filed under: Dallia pectoralis (Alaska blackfish)
Lineage: Eukaryota; Metazoa; Chordata; Actinopteri; Esociformes; Umbridae
Description: tRNA-Thr
Rfam family: tRNA
About the family: Transfer RNA (tRNA) molecules are approximately 80 nucleotides in length. Their secondary structure includes four short double-helical elements and three loops (D, anti-codon, and T loops). Further hydrogen bonds mediate the characteristic L-shaped molecular structure. tRNAs have two regions of fundamental functional importance: the anti-codon, which is responsible for specific mRNA codon recognition, and the 3' end, to which the tRNAs corresponding amino acid is attached (by aminoacyl-tRNA synthetases). tRNAs cope with the degeneracy of the genetic code in two manners: having more than one tRNA (with a specific anti-codon) for a particular amino acid; and 'wobble' base-pairing, i.e. permitting non-standard base-pairing at the 3rd anti-codon position.
Source: RNAcentral
GAGUUGGUAGCUCAGUGGUAGAGUUCAUUCUUUGUAUGUAUGAUGUCCUGGGUUCAAUCCCCAGCUUCG